RNAcentral lists this ribosomal RNA (243 nucleotides) under uncultured bacterium. Its description in RNAcentral is "partial 16S ribosomal RNA". It matches the Rfam family "Bacterial small subunit ribosomal RNA", at positions 118 to 354 of the family's 1533-position model. The record is from RNAcentral.
UAGGGAACCUGCCCAUGCGGCCGGGACAACUUCCGGAAACGGAUGCUGAUACCGGAUAAGGAAAGCGAAGGCAUCUUUGCUUUGUUAAAGGAGCUGCAAGGCUCCGCGCAUGGAUGGACCUGCGGUGCAUUAGCUGGUUGGUGAGGUAAAGGCUCACCAAGGCGACGAUGCAUAGCCGGCCUGAGAGGGCGAACGGCCACACUGGGACUGAGACACGGCCCAGACUCCUACGGAAGGCAGCAG